UACGUAGGUCGCAAGCGUUGUCCGGAUUUACUGGGCGUAAAGAGCGCGCAGGCGGCUGGUCAAGUCCGAUGUGAAAUCUCCCGGCUCAACUGGGAAACUGCAUCGGAAACUGAUCGGCUUGAAGAUGGGAGAGGGUAGUGGAAUUCCCGGUGUAGUGGUGAAAUGCGCAGAUAUCAGGAGGAACACCGGUGGCGAAGGCGGGUCUCUGGGCCGAUACUGACGCUGAGGAGCGAAAGCGUGGGGAGCGAACAGG
This 253-nucleotide ribosomal RNA is filed under the name uncultured bacterium. Its description in RNAcentral is "partial 16S ribosomal RNA". It matches the Rfam family "Bacterial small subunit ribosomal RNA", at positions 524 to 776 of the family's 1533-position model. The record is from RNAcentral.